This is a long non-coding RNA of Xenia sp. Carnegie-2017, 551 nucleotides long. RefSeq lists it as uncharacterized. NCBI's taxonomy places the organism in Eukaryota, Metazoa, Cnidaria, Anthozoa, Malacalcyonacea, Xeniidae. The transcript is spliced from 2 exons. The record is from RefSeq and is a predicted model, not a curated record.
GAUGCCAAGAAAGAAUAUUUAACACGUAUGAGCCAGCAGUAUUUUGUCAGUGGUAACGCGCAAACUGUCAAAGACAUUUCCUAAAGACAUGAUGGCUUGAAAAGACAAGAAACUGAAGGGCUGCAUUUAUACACAACGAACGCUGAAAGACUCCAGUAAAAAAGAUUUUACAUCCUACAUUUAAAAUGGUCGUUUCAUUGUCAGUCUCUGUUGUUGAGGAUGUUAAUUGUUGUUGAAAGUCCUCGACUCUAAGUAUAAGCUUUAAUUUUAAAAAACAAUAGUGCGGAGAAGCAAAAAUUAUCAAAAAAGACAUUGCAAUAAUCUUAUGCUUCACAAACAAAUCCAUGAAUUGUAGACUUCUCGAAAAAUAGAAAUAAUGCAUGUUUGUAGCUAUCGCUAAGGUUGUCGAAAUGCCCGUUAACAUCAACACCGACAGUCCUUUAAAGGCUCCACUAACUUGGGUAAUCUACACCUAAAAAACAUGUAACGAUGCAGUGAACUUCUUGAGCUACAGAAAUGAUGAAAAUAUACAUCUCAUUUUUCAACUGAAA